RNAcentral lists this ribosomal RNA (233 nucleotides) under Pseudomonas mohnii. Its description in RNAcentral is "partial 23S ribosomal RNA". It matches the Rfam family "Bacterial large subunit ribosomal RNA", at positions 2698 to 2925 of the family's 2925-position model. The record is from RNAcentral. Lineage: Bacteria; Pseudomonadati; Pseudomonadota; Gammaproteobacteria; Pseudomonadales; Pseudomonadaceae.
UGGACGAACCUCUGGUGUUCCGGUUGUCACGCCAGUGGCAUUGCCGGGUAGCUAUGUUCGGAAUAGAUAACCGCUGAAAGCAUCUAAGCGGGAAACUAGCCUCAAGAUGAGAUCUCACUGGAACCUUGAGUUCCCUGAAGGGCCGUCGAAGACUACGACGUUGAUAGGUUGGGUGUGUAAGCGCUGUGAGGCGUUGAGCUAACCAAUACUAAUUGCCCGUGAGGCUUGACCAU